This 666-nucleotide ribosomal RNA is filed under the name Triticum aestivum (bread wheat). RNAcentral's name for it is "partial small subunit ribosomal RNA". Lineage: Eukaryota; Viridiplantae; Streptophyta; Magnoliopsida; Poales; Poaceae. The record is from RNAcentral.
AUGAUGAGAAGGAAAAAAAUUAAGAAGGAAAACACAGAUAAAGCUAAGCGCCAUGUAUGGAAAUCUUCAGAGGACAAAAUACUGCUGAAUAUAUUAAAAGAUCAAAGCCUACAUGGAGGAAAAGAAGGAACAGGUUACACAAAGAAAGCAUGGCGUGAUAUCUUAGAACAAUUCAAUGAUUCAAGGGUAGAAAAACUUGAAUUACAACAACUGAAAAAUCGUCAUAAGUACUACAAGAGUUGCCACAGCACCAUGGACAGACUUCAAAAACUCACGGGAUUUGGUUGGGAUGACGACGAAAAAAUGAUAAAAGCUCCAGAAGAUAUUUGGGAAGAACUAAUUAAGAAGGAUAAGGCUAUCCAAGAAUAUCAAGAUAAGGUGUGGCCUAGUUGGAUAGAUCUUCAAGCCAUAUGUGCUAGUUCAACAGCAUCUGGAGCUGGUGCUGUAUCUAGCAAAGGAAAAGAUGGUGCAUGUACAACCAAAUCUUCACAAAUUGACCUCAAUACGGAAGUUGAAGUACAUGACAUCGAUUCUGAUGAAAUCAAUGCUUCCCCUUGUGUCUUCACCAAGAAGUCAACUACCAUUGAGCCAAAAAAAAGAAGUCCCCUGGAAGUGGAUCCAAGGAAACUGCAAGAGGACAAAAACGGACAGCCGAUGAUGCCAUAA